This is a non-coding RNA of Sus scrofa (pig), 2875 nucleotides long. The record is from RefSeq and is a predicted model, not a curated record. NCBI's taxonomy places the organism in Eukaryota, Metazoa, Chordata, Mammalia, Artiodactyla, Suidae.
UCCUUAACCCAUUGAGCAAGGCCAGAAUUAAAACCACAUCCUCACGGAACCUGCUGAGCCACAAUGGAAACUCAACACUUUCUUAUAGAAUAAAUAUUUGUGUUAGAUGAUUUGUGUCAGAUGAUUUUGCUCAACUGUAGGUCCAUGUAAGUGUUCUGAGCACAGUAAGGUAGGCUAGGCUAUGAUGUUUGGUAGGUGAGAUCUAUUCGAUGCAUUUUUGACUUACAAUAUUUUCAAUUUACAGUGGAUUUAUCAGGGUGUAACACCAUCAUAAGUCAAGGGAGAUCUGUGCUCUUACUUGCCCUCACUUUCCAGGUGAAAAAAACAAGGUUUUAGAGAUGAUAUUGACCCAAAGUUAGUAAAUGUUGGGACCCAUAUUUGCACAGAGAGUUUGAAUCCCAGAGCUCAGGAUCUUGUACUUUUGCUCACUUGCACUUAGGAAAAAAACAAAACAAAAACUCCCUUUUAUUGGGAUGUUCAAAAAUAGAAAAUGAAAAUAAGUAGAUGUAAGUCGAUCUCAGAGAGAGGGCUUAGUUCUCCUGCCUCGCAUCUUUCCCACAUUAGAGUCAAUUCAACUUUGAAAAACAUCAUCUAGGAUGGUCCAGUUCCCCACCAUUCUGCCCUUUGUUGAUUUUUUGACAUCCUAAGAGGCUGGAACAGUUGACCCUAUCUCUUAGCCCAGGUACACUGCUUCUUUAGGUCUCACUGGAGACCGAAGCUAUGGCUCAGCUGUGUUUUUCCUGUAGAAAGCAGGGUUGGAAUUCUGCAGUGGAGAGGCAUCAUUAGCCUUACUCCAGGAAACUUUUGGGCCAUUGGGCACUGCCUUACUACCUCAAGCUGGAUGACCACCCCCCCCCCUUCAGCCACAGGCCUCAAUUCUCCUUGGACUAGGAUCGAACCCACACCUCUGCAGCAACUUGAGCCACUGCAGUCCCAUUCUUAACCCACUGUGCCAUGGCAGGAACUCCAUUUGUCUGCUGUUUCUAUGGGCAGUCGUGGCUGGCAUUGGUCUUGGUUGACAUUGACAUUGAUUUAAAACGCCAGAAUUGAUGGAAUUAAGGGGGAAAUUGGGCCAUUCCAUCAUCAGAUCCUUCUUACCAGCUGCAAGUCCUGGAGUUGCUUUCACAGGGAAAACCAAAAGUAGAACAUUCAAAAUCAAGAUGUGGCUUACACUCUCCAACAUUUGUUUCCAUUACACCUUUAUAUCGCUGAUGAAUAUUCAUUUAAAACUACUCCUCUUUUACUUAUUCUUUCCCUCCUUUUCCUCCUCUCCCUAGAUCAGUUUGCCUAAUGAAAGACAAAUCAUUAAAUAAAGAGUCUUCUAAAUAGGUUGCUGGAAGCCACUUUACCAAAUUUACUCACUGCUUGAAUCUUUUAGUUCACUGAGCAGUUUUAAUGAACUAUGAUUGCAUUUUAAGGAACGUGGAAUUUGUGUCUGUCUCAACCGUUUUUCUGCUGCUGCCAAUCCAUGUGAAAUAAAAAAAAAAAUCCUAGAAAAAGAUAAAAGGUCAAAGCUGACCCUUAUGUAGUGUUAAGUGCUAAUGGCACAAAAUACAGAGAGUGAGCUUGAUUUUGUAAACAUAUGUAUUACAUGCAUUUCCACAAAUAUGCCUGUAUGUGAGAUAAAGAUAGGAAAAUGUCAACUAAGAGUGAUGUAAGUACUGGUUGCAAUUGCAGGUGAUUGACUUUUAUUCUUGAGUCUGUUUUCCUUUUUCAUGUUUUUCGCAAUGGAUGCAUAUUGUCUCUGUACUACUAAAAAGGGUUACCACAGGGACUGGUACGCCUUAAAUAUAACUUCUGGAACUGGACCUGGACAUGCCAACGCUGCCUCUCACCAGCUGCAGGACUUUGAGUAAAUGAAAUUGAACUACCCUCUUCCCAGCAGGUGUUCUCGCUUGAUACACGCGGGUAAUAAAUUUCUUACUGGUUAGGAUUAAAUGGCACCAUAUGUAGGGUCUCAGGCACACUCAGUAGGGAUUCCUUGAUUAGGGAACCGAGCUCUGAGCUCAACCCUGGAUCCAAGGCAGUGUUUGAGAUCUCAGUGCCUCAGGGGCUCUCCCUGCUCUAACCCACGACCCUGACCUACAAUCCCGCCGGGGAGGGAGCCGCUGCCUCCUCUUGCCUUCGCACCUCGGUGGCUGGGGUGACUCCUUCUCCCCGCGGCCUCUUGAGGAUGAGGUGCAGUCUCUUCCCAGGCUCCACGAGUUUUCGGGGCUCAAAGAAACACCAGCAGCGUCCCGGGAGGAGAAAGAGGGUCCCCCGUCCUUUGGGGCCGCGCGGGACCCGGCUGCGGGGGCUGGACUCCCCGCUACCCAUUUCCGAAAAGUCGCCGCAGAUUUUCGGCCACCAGAAGCCGCCUAGUGCAAGGAGGCAGAGCCACAGAUGGAAGGAGUCUGGAUCCCUGAGUCAAUGCUUAGAAGAAGUCCACCUGGGAGAGCUGCCCAGUCAACAUCAGGAUCUUAACCAAGGCAUCUGGCAGUUGCAGUGCAGAGUCAGCAGAAACAGUUCAGUUUUCUCUUUGCUGUCUGGCAACAUCUCAAAUUUGAAUGAGUUCUCAAUCCCCAACUGUGCUUUUGGAAGUCUUCCCAAGCACAAGAAGUCUGCUAAAAGACCAGCAGUCUUAAAACAGCAUGAAAUUCUACCCCAGGAGGCCUGAAGAAAGACUACUCAAGUGAAAACACCAGGAAAAUAAUAUUCUUAUGUGUGGGGUACUUAAAUACCCAGAAACAGUACUUCAUAGAUAGCUCGUGAUGAAACCAUACCAAACGUGAAAAACAACAACAAAAACAGACUGCAAAAACAGCAUGUGCAGAAUGAUCCAUUUCGGUAGGAUACAGGCUAUGUAAAAAUACACAGAUCAUUUAUUGUUUGCUUA